GAUGAACGCUGGCGGCGUGCCUAAUACAUGCAAGUCGAGCGAACAGACGAGGAGCUUGCUCCUCUGACGUUAGCGGCGGACGGGUGAGUAACACGUGGAUAACCUACCUAUAAGACUGGGAUAACUUCGGGAAACCGGAGCUAAUACCGGAUAAUAUAUUGAACCGCAUGGUUCAAUAGUGAAAGACGGUUUUGCUGUCACUUAUAGAUGGAUCCGCGCCGCAUUAGCUAGUUGGUAAGGUAACGGCCUACCAGGGCAACGAUGCGUAGCCGACCUGAGAGGGUGAUCGGCCACACUGGAACUGAGACACGGUCCAGACUCCUACGGGAGGCAGCAGUAGGGAAUCUUCCGCAAUGGGCGAAAGCCUGACGGAGCAACGCCGCGUGAGUGAUGAAGGUCUUCGGAUCGUAAAACUCUGUUAUUAGGGAAGAACAAAUGUGUAAGUAACUAUGCACGUCUUGACGGUACCUAAUCAGAAAGCCACGGCUAACUACGUG
RNAcentral lists this ribosomal RNA (497 nucleotides) under uncultured bacterium. RNAcentral describes it as "partial 16S ribosomal RNA". It matches the Rfam family "Bacterial small subunit ribosomal RNA", at positions 28 to 507 of the family's 1533-position model. The record is from RNAcentral.